RNAcentral lists this transfer RNA (73 nucleotides) under Methanoregulaceae archaeon PtaB.Bin152. RNAcentral describes it as "tRNA-Ile". The record is from RNAcentral. Lineage: Archaea; Methanobacteriati; Methanobacteriota; Methanomicrobia; Methanomicrobiales; Methanoregulaceae. RNAcentral also lists the same sequence under 1 other name.
CCGACUCCAGGAGGACCUUCCCGUGCCUGAUACGCAGGGAGUUGAUGAACGGUUCGAUCCCGCUGGAAUCGGU